GAUGAACGCUGACAGAAUGCUUAACACAUGCAAGUCAACUUGAACUUCGGUUUGGGUGGCGGACGGGUGAGUAACGCGUAAAGAACUUGCCUCACAGAUAGGGACAACAUUUGGAAACGAAUGCUAAUACCUGAUAUUAUGAUUAUAUGGCAUCGUAUAAUUAUGAAAGCUAUAUGCGCUGUGAGAGAGCUUUGCGUCCCAUUAGCUAGUUGGAGAGGUAACGGCUCACCAAGGCGAUGAUGGGUAGCCGGCCUGAGAGGGUGAUCGGCCACAAGGGGACUGAGACACGGCCCUUACUCCUACGGGAGGCAGCAGUGGGGAAUAUUGGACAAUGGACCAAGAGUCUGAUCCAGCAAUUCUGUGUGCACGAUGAAGUUUUUCGGAAUGUAAAGUACUUUCAGUUGGGAAGAAAAAAAUGACGGUACCAACAGAAGAAGUGACGGCUAAAUACGUG
RNAcentral lists this ribosomal RNA (454 nucleotides) under uncultured bacterium. RNAcentral describes it as "partial 16S ribosomal RNA". It matches the Rfam family "Bacterial small subunit ribosomal RNA", at positions 28 to 507 of the family's 1533-position model. The record is from RNAcentral.